CACGCAGGCGGUCCGCCAAGUUCACGGCGACAGUUACCGGCUUAACCGGUGAAGGACGGUGAACACUGGUGGACUUGAGAGCGAGAGAGGGACAUGGAACUCCAGGUGGAGCGGUGAAAUGCGUAGAGAUCUGGAAGAACACCAAAGGCGAAGGCAGUGUCCUGGCUCGUCUCUGACGCUCAGGGGCGAAAGCUAGGGGAGCGAACAGGAUUAGAUACCCUGGUAGUCCUAGCUGUAAACGAUGACCACUAGACGUACGGAGGAUCGACCCUCUGUGUGUCGUAGCCAACGCGAGAAGUGGUCCGCCUGGGGAGUACGGUCGCAAGAUUAAA
This 332-nucleotide ribosomal RNA is filed under the name uncultured bacterium. RNAcentral's name for it is "bacterial SSU rRNA". It matches the Rfam family "Bacterial small subunit ribosomal RNA", at positions 568 to 898 of the family's 1533-position model. The record is from RNAcentral.